RNAcentral lists this ribosomal RNA (253 nucleotides) under uncultured bacterium. RNAcentral's name for it is "partial 16S ribosomal RNA". It matches the Rfam family "Bacterial small subunit ribosomal RNA", at positions 524 to 776 of the family's 1533-position model. The record is from RNAcentral.
UACAGAGGUGGCAAGCGUUGUUCGGAAUUACUGGGCGUAAAGGGCGCGUAGGCGGUCUUAUAAGUCUCGUGUGAAAUCCCUCGGCUUAACUGAGGAACUGCACGGGAUACUGCAAGACUUGAGAUCGGGAGAGGGAAGCGGAAUUCCGGGUGUAGCGGUGAAAUGCGUAGAUAUUGUGAGGAACACUAGAGGCGAAGGCGAGACUCUGGACAGGUCCUGACGCUGAGGCACGAAGGCCAGGGGAGCAAACGGG